GUUGAAACCAAAUCUGUCA
Molecule: non-coding RNA, 19 nt
Filed under: Arabidopsis thaliana (thale cress)
Lineage: Eukaryota; Viridiplantae; Streptophyta; Magnoliopsida; Brassicales; Brassicaceae
Source: RNAcentral